GUGUAUGGCUAUAUCACUUCAAGCUGUGAUCUUGCUAAAUCUCACAAGUUAAGUAAGGUUAGAUCUGAAUAGACUUGGAUGGGAGACUGCCAAGGAAUCUAGGAACUGUAGGAA
Chrysemys picta bellii (western painted turtle) is the source of this 114-nucleotide ribosomal RNA. The record is from Ensembl. NCBI's taxonomy places the organism in Eukaryota, Metazoa, Chordata, Testudines, Emydidae.